GCCUUGGUCGCUCAGAUGGCUAGAGCAUGGUGCUGAUAAUGCUAAGGUUGCAGGUUUGAUCCCUGUAUGGCAGCGGUU
This 78-nucleotide transfer RNA is filed under the name Podarcis lilfordi (Lilford's wall lizard). RNAcentral describes it as "tRNA.Ile". It matches the Rfam family "tRNA". Rfam says of the family: Transfer RNA (tRNA) molecules are approximately 80 nucleotides in length. Lineage: Eukaryota; Metazoa; Chordata; Lepidosauria; Squamata; Lacertidae. The record is from RNAcentral.